This 229-nucleotide long non-coding RNA is filed under the name Elaeis guineensis (African oil palm). RNAcentral describes it as "long non-coding RNA (EGUI_LNC082709)". Lineage: Eukaryota; Viridiplantae; Streptophyta; Magnoliopsida; Arecales; Arecaceae. The record is from RNAcentral.
CCAUGGACUUUGGGUGCAGCGGAACGAGCAACGAACAGAUCUAGAGACUUCUGGACUCGAUCCAAGGCCCUUGACGAAAUCAGCCUGGUUGCUGUCUUCUUCGUCAGCUUUUCGUUCCAGAUGAAGAACACCUCUAAAAUCACCUCUAAAAAAUCUAAGAUCUGGUACCCAAUCAGAUCAGGCCUGGAUCGAGGUCUUUCAAUUUGUAGAUCUUAAAUUGGGAUGUUCU